UUCCCUGUAGCUCAGUUGGUAGAGCAUGGUGUUUGCAACGCCAGGGUUGUGGGUUCGAUUCCCACGGGGGACC
Molecule: non-coding RNA, 73 nt
Organism: Salmo salar (Atlantic salmon)
Lineage: Eukaryota; Metazoa; Chordata; Actinopteri; Salmoniformes; Salmonidae
Source: Rfam